This 446-nucleotide ribosomal RNA is filed under the name uncultured bacterium. RNAcentral describes it as "bacterial SSU rRNA". It matches the Rfam family "Bacterial small subunit ribosomal RNA", at positions 355 to 796 of the family's 1533-position model. The record is from RNAcentral.
UCGAGAAUCUUCGGCAAUGGACGCAAGUCUGACCGAGCGACGCCGCGUGCGGGAUGAAGGCCUUCGGGUUGUAAACCGCUGUCAGAGGGGAGGAAAUCAACGUGGGUUCUCCCACGUAGUUGACCUAGCCUCAAAGGAAGUACGGGCUAAGUUCGUGCCAGCAGCCGCGGUAAGACGAACCGUACAAACGUUAUUCGGAAUCACUGGGCUUAAAGGGUGCGUAGGCGGCGCGGAAAGUAGGGUGUGAAAUCCCUCGGCUCAACCGAGGAAUAGCGCCCUAAACUACCGUGCUCGAGGGAGAUAGAGGUGAGCGGAACUUAGGGUGGAGCGGUGAAAUGCGUUGAUAUCCUAAGGAACACCGGUGGCGAAAGCGGCUCACUGGAUCUCUUCUGACGCUGAGGCACGAAAGCUAGGGUAGCGAACGGGAUUAGAUACCCCCGUAGUCC